CAUUAUAUUUCCGUUGGACAGCUCUGAGCUAGACGUAGGGUCCUGGUCCUGAGAGAAGUCUCAGUUCAGUAGUGGGGUUUUACUCUAGGCCUCUCCAUUCUUCCUUCUCCAUCCUUCUUACUCCUCUCUCCCUGAGGUGGGGAAGGUAUUAGGGACCUAAUUGUAUCUCUCUAGAAUGUUUAAUUGUAAAAGAGCAGAGGUCAUGUGGAUGCUUCACAUAAAGGAGUGACUCACUGUCAUUGCAUUUCAGGCAUCAGUGACGGAGAUAUUUGACCUUCUAGGAGUCUCUGUUGAUAGGUGCUGGUGGCAUCCUUCCUGGAUUUCCAGGAUUGUCCCAAUUUACAUGUUUUGACCAUGUUUGAGGCCAGUGUGGGCCAGUUGAUUUUCCUUGUUCUAAUCCUCACCCAGCCUUCUUCACGACAUGACAAAGUGGAACAGAUUAGCCCUGAGCUAACAUCUGCCACAAAUCCUCCUCUUUUUGCUGAGGAAGACUGGCCUCGAGCUAACAUCCAUGCCCAUCUUCCUCUACUUUAUAUGCAAGACGCCUACCACAGCAAGGCUUGCCGAGCAGUGCCAUGUCCGCACCCAGCAUCCAAACCGGCGAACCCUGGGCCGGCGAAGCAGAACGUGCGAACUUAACCUCUGCGCCACAGGGCCAGCCUCUCCCCUACCGUCUUUUAAUUCACUUAGUUUAACUGUCACACCACCAGAAGCAGAGAUGAAAAUCUGUGCCUUUGGGAAAAGCUACCAAAACGGAACCUGCAAAAUGCAAACAACAAGCAGGUAUCCAUCCAUUGUUCUUGGAGACAACUGUGAAGACAACUGCGGGCAAUUGUAAAGCAUCUGAAAGCUUAAUAUGUUAAGCCUUUCAUUCAGGGAUACAAAUUGGGAGUAUCAUUAGCAGGACUAUGUGCUUUUCGAGCAAGAGAGCAGUUUUUUGUUUUCUGUUUUUCUAAUUGCAAAUGUAGACUAGAGUGUCCUUGAAAGUGAUGGUUCUUGGAAGGUGCAUGUGUAUUUUUGUUAAAGCAUUUACUCAUGGGAGAUUGGAAGAUGCGUGUGUAUUUUUGUUAAAGCAUUUACUCAUGGGAGAUUGUAAGACUAGACCACAGGCAGGAUAAUGUGCAGGUCUGAACUCUUCCUCCCAUGCUAGAAAAGCUGUGAAAAGGACUUAGAGUGUGUGAAGUAAUAGAAAAUGUAUAUAUUGGUCUCUGCCCCUGGUUCCUGGCACAGAGAUCCUAAAACCCUUGUAAUUUCCUAAGUGAUAGGAGUGUCUUUUGUUCCAAUGAGGAAAUGCUUGGUGGGCUCCUGAUGGGGGCCAGUCAUCAGAAAGACCAAGUCAUGAUUAGAACUUUGGAACUUUCUGCCCCAUCCAUUAUCCUCCAGGAAAGGGAGAGAGGCUGGAAAUUGACUUAAUGAUCAAUCAUACCUACGUAUGAACCCUCCAUAAAAAUCCCAAAAGUACAGGGUUUGGAGAGCUUUUGGGUUGCUGAAGAAUGGAGGUACUGGGAGGGUGAUGCAAGGACAUGGAAGCUCUGCAUCCCUUCCCAUAUAUGUUGCCUUACACAUCUCUUUCAUCUGUAUCUGUG
This 1586-nucleotide long non-coding RNA is filed under the name Equus asinus (donkey). Its description in RNAcentral is "lncRNA (ENSEASG00005025263.1)". Lineage: Eukaryota; Metazoa; Chordata; Mammalia; Perissodactyla; Equidae. The record is from RNAcentral.